GACAGAGGGGGCAAGCGUUGCUCGGAAUCACUGGGCGUAAAGGGCGCGUAGGCGGGAUGGCAAGUCAGUCGUGAAAUCUCUCGGCUCAACCGAGAAACGUCGGCUGAUACUGCCGUUCUUGAGGGAUGCAGAGGAGACUGGAAUUCCCGGUGUAGCGGUGAAAUGUGUAGAGAUCGGGAGGAACACCGGUGGCGAAGGCGGGUCUCUGGACAGUUCCUGACGCUGAGGCACGAAGGCCAGGGGAGCAAACGGG
This 253-nucleotide ribosomal RNA is filed under the name uncultured bacterium. RNAcentral's name for it is "partial 16S ribosomal RNA". It matches the Rfam family "Bacterial small subunit ribosomal RNA", at positions 524 to 776 of the family's 1533-position model. The record is from RNAcentral.